UCGAAGCUUCUUCCGCCGCAAACGGCUUACGUGCUCAAUGGGCACGUGAUUGCCACAUGCGUCCCCUACUUGGCCUCGCCUCUACCAUGCUCCUCUGACUCGACCUUAUUUAUAUGUAAAGCAAAAUAAAUUUCGAUAAAUUCUAGAUGACACUACUUAGUUUCUCAAUUUUCAAAUUCAAGUCUUGUUUUUGUGGUAUUUCAAAUGUGCUUGCCAAGUUGUAACUAAUUUAGAAGUUUGUGUAUUCUCUAAGCAUGUACUUGGUAAUGAUGCAAUACAAAUUAACUAGCUUAGACUUUAUCGGUCCUUUUUUCUUUACUAUACCAGCUGUAACAAUUGUUUUUUUUUUUUUUCAAAAGCACGUUUGAGUUUUUGCUUUUCAAAAACAUGUUUGAUUACUUAUGAGAAAUUUAAAUAUUGUACUAAUUAUUAUCCACGUUAAAUAGUUUUCCAUCACUAAUAAAAGAGUAUCUCUCAUUGACACAAAAGGAAGUAGAAAAUCUUUGUAAUACAAACCUUUUUAAUAUAGAUUUUGUAUUAGUUUUGUAAACAUCAUUUAUCAAGAUUCAAGUGUUAUACACUUAUGACUAGUAUCAUGUUUGUAUCAUCAAGAUGUUGCGUUCUUUGUGAUUUUGUGAAUAUAUUAUAAAUAAUUAUAUCCGUCCAGGGAUCCAGGUAAUCAU
Molecule: long non-coding RNA, 683 nt
Filed under: Brassica rapa (field mustard)
Lineage: Eukaryota; Viridiplantae; Streptophyta; Magnoliopsida; Brassicales; Brassicaceae
Description: long non-coding RNA (BRAP_LNC001127)
Source: RNAcentral